This is a long non-coding RNA of Dreissena polymorpha, 886 nucleotides long. RefSeq lists it as uncharacterized. The transcript is spliced from 2 exons. NCBI's taxonomy places the organism in Eukaryota, Metazoa, Mollusca, Bivalvia, Myida, Dreissenidae. The record is from RefSeq and is a predicted model, not a curated record.
AAAAUUUAGUAAAAUGUUUUAUAAGGGAAAAAAGAGUUGCAUGACCUUUAAAAAUGGUACACUUUGAUUUAUACACAACAAUAUACAAAGGCUAAAAAAAAUUGUAUUGUUAUCGUAUAUGUAUCGUGGCAAAUGUUCAGUAUGAAAGAAUGAUUGUCUGGGGCUUGAAAAUAUCAGAUGGCAGUUCAAAAAAUGGCAAUUAUCCAGGGAGGAAAAAUAAGACGGGAGCUGAUUGUCUAGGUGGACAAUUUAAUGGGUCGCCAAUUGUCCUGGUCGAAAAAAAAAAGAGGUGCUAAUUGUCUGAGGAAGUAAAAAUCUGCAGGGAGCCGAAUGUCUGGUUGCUGUGUGGAGGGAUACAUUGUUUUAUAUUUUGGCUUUGUUUGACAAAAGCAUUCCAUUAAGUACCAGCUAGGCCACAACACAAUAUUUAUUAACCAGGUUUUCCGAAGGAAAAAACUGGUUAUUAGAUUGGCGAAUGCGGGCGGGCUGGCUGGCUGGCUGGCUGGCGGGCUGGCGGAAUAAGCUUGUCCGGGCCAUAACUAUGUCGUUCAUUGUCAGAUUUUAAAAUCAUUUGGCACAUUUGUUCACCAUCAUUGGACGGUGUGUCGCGCGAAAUAAUUACGUCGAUAUCUCCAAGGUCAAGGUCACACUUUGAGUUCAAAGGUCAAAAAUGGCCAUAAAUGAGCUUGUCCUGGCCAUAACUAUGUCAUUCAUUGUGAGAUUUUAAAAUCAUUUGGCACAUUUGUUCACCAUCAUGGGACGGUGUGUCCCACGAAAGAAUCACGUCAAUAUCUCCAAUGUCAAGGUCGCCACGACUAAAAAUAGAUUUAAAAAAAAAAAAAAAACUUACAAAGGGGGUUAAUUUUUUUUGGUCAUUUCAAAAGUU